AAUAUAACUACUUUGAUAUACUUCAGGGGUUUUACCAACUCCAACUGUGUUAAAUUGAGCGGGUUGAAUUGGCCACACAGACAGUCAGUGCUGUAGAGAAAUGAUUGAAAUUUCCACUCCUGUAUCUACCAAACCUUUAAAUUUCUUUCGCUGAAUAGUUAUUUCACAGGUAGGACAUACCUAUAUGCCACAAACUGGGUGACUUAAAAUAGCAGAAACUUAUUGUUGAGAUGGAGCAGGGACCCCUCUUAGAGCAUAAGUAUUCUAGGAGAAAAGAAUAAGAUGAAGACUUAUCAAGAAGAAGUACAGGGCAUGUCCAGAAAACUGCGAAUCUGCUUUAGGUAUAAAGCUUGCAGGAACUUGAGCAUCCUGAAAACAUUCCAGAUUAACUUCCCAGUUUGACAGAAAGCUAAUUGCUUUAGAUGAUCAUGCGCAGAGGUAGCAAUAGUUUCAUAGCUUUUCUUAGGGUUAAGGUCCCAGAGCAUUAAGAAACUUUUGAGACCUGCCAAAACAAAAAGCAAAGUCCCAACACAUUAAGCCAGUGUGUUCUGAGGAAUAGUAAUCUGCAUCAUGACUCUGCUUAGUG
This 586-nucleotide long non-coding RNA is filed under the name Homo sapiens (human). RNAcentral's name for it is "non-protein coding lnc-EXOC5-2:1". Lineage: Eukaryota; Metazoa; Chordata; Mammalia; Primates; Hominidae. The record is from RNAcentral.